GACGAACGCGGCGGCGUGCUUAAUACAUGCAAGUAGAACGCUGAAGGGAGAGCUUGCUCUUCUGGAUGAGUUGCGAACGGGUGAGUAACGCGUAGGUAACCUGCCUGGUAGCGGGGGAUAACUAUUGGAAACGAUAGCUAAUACCGCAUAACGUUGACUAUUGCAUGAUAGUCAAUUGAAAGGUGCAAAUGCACCACUACCAGAUGGACCUGCGUUGUAUUAGCUAGUUGGUGGGGUAACGGCUCACCAAGGCGACGAUACAUAGCCGACCUGAGAGGGUGAUCGGCCACACUGGGACUGAGACACGGCCCAGACUCCUACGGGAGGCAGCAGUAGGGAAUCUUCGGCAAUGGACGGAAGUCUGACCGAGCAACGCCGCGUGAGUGAAGAAGGUUUUCGGAUCGUAAAGCUCUGUUGUAAGAGAAGAACGAGUGUGAGAGUGGAAAGUUCACACUGUGACG
Molecule: ribosomal RNA, 461 nt
Filed under: Streptococcus cristatus
Lineage: Bacteria; Bacillati; Bacillota; Bacilli; Lactobacillales; Streptococcaceae
Description: bacterial SSU rRNA
Rfam family: Bacterial small subunit ribosomal RNA
Source: RNAcentral